This is a long non-coding RNA of Felis catus (domestic cat), 1104 nucleotides long. RefSeq lists it as uncharacterized. The transcript is spliced from 4 exons. The record is from RefSeq and is a predicted model, not a curated record. Lineage: Eukaryota; Metazoa; Chordata; Mammalia; Carnivora; Felidae.
CAUGUUACCAAAAUGAUGUAUGCAGCAAUUAUCUGGCCAAUCCAAAGUGAUUCUGUGCUCACUGCUGUCAUCAUAAUUGCCAUUGGAAUGUGAAGCCAAUGGAAAUAACCUGAGAAUUAGCCCUAAGUAGAAAUAAGAAGUGUGGAAUCUAUGUCCCUAUUCUCCAUUGCCUGAUACUUACCAGCGACUGCAAUGUCCUUACAUGAUGGGAUGCUUGACCAAAGGAAAGGAAAGAUUGCAAAGUGCUUUCCUCUCCAGCGCCUUUUACAUCUUAUAGUCCACUGAAACAUUCACGGUGGAAUCUCAGUCCUCUUGAAAUUCUGUGCGAAGUUGAGAGAUCUAAAGUCUCCUAAAUUUGAAGGUAGACUUGAAGAUAAAGACUUUUGCAUCAGCUUUAUGUUUUAUCAGUCAGCUGUCUUGAUGAAUUGCAUCUUUGGUAUGAUUUCUUAGAUAAUUUAUAAAAUUAUUUUAGCUUUACAUGUAGAAAAUUACUCUGUCCAAAAUAUAGCUUUAGACUGAACUAUCCCAUAUGUAGUGAAAGUGAGAGGAUAUUCUAAGAAAAUUAUGAAACCAUCUUUUUUAAAGGAAAUAGUGAUGUGGGCUUAUAUUUAAGAGAUAAUUAUAAAAAAUCUUUUCUGCCUCUUAUUUCCUCUUCAAUUGUUUAAGGUUAGGUUGUAUUCUAUAAUUCAAGUUUGAAGCUUCUCCCUGAAUUUUACCCAAAUUUUCAAGUAAUGAUAAUGAGUACUACAAGAAUGGUUAAUCAUUUUGUCAUUGGAACACUUAGCAGAAAACAUCACAAAUCCUUUUGAAAAUGGUAUGAUAAACUGUGGCCAUCAAAUUAAAUAUUUCAUGAUAUACAUGGAAAUCCUAAAUAUUUUAUUUUAUGAGAAUAAUGGGGGAAUUAGUGGAUGACAGAGUUGAAGUAUUCUGUUCAGAAGCUAAACUCACAACUCUUGCCUAGAAGUCUGCUCUGCAUUAUGAAUUAUACAUCUUUAUUAAAAUAUAUUCUGGAGGCAUCUAUGUGGCCAGUCAGUUAAGCAUCGGACUCUUGAUCUCAGCUCAGGUCUUGAUAUCAGGUGUUUGUGAGAUCGACCCUUGUGUUGG